UGCUUUGUCAAAUCAAAUAGGCGCGUAUGAAACACAAAUCCAGAGGUGGAUAUCUAUUGACGAUAUAGCGUAUGAAAGAGAUUUUAAUGCAAUUCCAUCGGUGCUAGCUCUGUUUUCAGCAUUUGCCUGAACAGGCGCAUUUGCUGCUUUAGUUAAUUCCUUUUAAAGGUGGAUAUUCCGGUUCAUUCCUUUGGGACGGCUCAUUUCUUUGCCUUAUCAUGUGUCGACAUGUGGACCCCCUUCUCUUUUCUUGCAUUGAAUUGCUUAUCUUUCUUCGGGUUCCAAGCAUCGGCUGUAGUUGGGGAGAAAUCCUCAUCUCCAAACCCCAGCAGUAGUUUCGAGCAGAAGUUGACUUUCGAUACGAAUUCCUUCCUU
This 375-nucleotide long non-coding RNA is filed under the name Setaria italica (foxtail millet). RNAcentral describes it as "long non-coding RNA (SITA_LNC004478)". The record is from RNAcentral. Lineage: Eukaryota; Viridiplantae; Streptophyta; Magnoliopsida; Poales; Poaceae.